AAGGCUUCAUGCUAUGCCAGAUGAAUGAUAUGCAUGAGCGAAGCGAUAUGAUUAAUGUAUGGUGAUGAUUUAUGUAAUGGUUCUGAAGGUUCAGCAAGUGACAUUGUAUGGUUGAAAUUGGGAAGUAUCUUUCUUGGCUACAAGACUUCUUAUUGAAAAGUUAUGGGAUGUGCUUAACAUGAUUUCCGACAUUCAUCUUGAACUCAGUGGUUGCUUAUGCACGAUAUAACUUGCUCGAGUAGAUUUGAGAGUAUGGAGAAG
RNAcentral lists this long non-coding RNA (261 nucleotides) under Lathyrus oleraceus (garden pea). Its description in RNAcentral is "Pisum sativum (pea) long non-coding RNA (PSAT_LNC036467)". Lineage: Eukaryota; Viridiplantae; Streptophyta; Magnoliopsida; Fabales; Fabaceae. The record is from RNAcentral.